Molecule: long non-coding RNA, 7715 nt
Organism: Passer domesticus (house sparrow)
Lineage: Eukaryota; Metazoa; Chordata; Aves; Passeriformes; Passeridae
Exons: 4
Source: RefSeq, a predicted model, not a curated record
GCCAUCUGAGCAAGGAGGGGCAUGGGGGGGCAUGCCCCUGGCAGGGUUCCAGCCAGUGAAGGAGGAUGAUGGAGGGCUUUGGUAGCUGUCACUGCCGCUGAUGUCAUGGCCAUCCGCUCCAGCUAAUCCCCCCUCCCUUCUUCACUCGCUCCUGGUGGGGCGGGGGGAGGAGACAGCCAGAGUGUGCAGCCCACGGCACCGCCCCUAGGGGAGAAGCCGAGGGGCAGAGCCUUCUGCCGCAAAGGCAGAGAGGGGCCUUCCCAUAAAGGGGGAGUGGCACCUCUUCGGCUCUCAGGCCUGUGAGUUUCCAUAGAAAUCCCGAACGCCGGGGAGCUGCCUCAGAUGACGUCAUCGAUGGGCGCAGGUGCACAGCCCGGGUUCAGCGACGCAGGUGAACUCUGACAAAUCAAUCUCUUUUUGUGGAAUUACUGCAAGAAUACCUUUUUCUGCAAUUCCUCUUGCUGGUUCAUCAGCAAAGCGAUUUCCCAAUUCUGGAGCAGUUUUCCCUUUUUGGUGAACUCUACAGUGCAUUAUACCUACUUCUGUGGGAUUUUUAAUGCUCUCUAAGAGGGCCUUUUGCGAGCACACAAGUUAACAGACUAAACAAGCAGACUCCAGCUAAAUCCAAAAUUAGUUUCUACACCAAGUUAAAUUUCUAAUCCCGUGUCUCACAAGGUCAGGGAAGAAAGGGGUAGGUAAGUCAAAGCAGAGGAUGCCUACCUGGGCCUUCUCUUGCCUACCACUCCAUUGACUUGACUUGCCAUUCCUACCAAACCUUGCAUUUCCUUGCCAUUCCUGGCCAUCCCUUGCCUUGCCUACUUGUGUCUUGCUUUUCAUUGCCUUUCAUACCUAUCCCCCCCCUUUAACUACCUACCCCUUACUUCCCUCACCUUGCCUUGCCUUUCUCUUCUUUGACUUGCCUUGCCUUUCCUAGCAAUCUCUUGCCUUUCCUAGCAAUCUCUUGCUUUGCUUUACAACCGCCGCUAUGUCCUUGCCUUGCUUUGAUUUCCAAUUCAUUACCUACCCUUGCCUUGCCUACUUCUACCUUGCCUUGCUUUCCUAUACCCCACCUACACUUUACUACCCCUUUCAUUCCUGGCCUUGCCUUACCUUGCCUGCACCUCCUCUGAGUUCCUUUCCCUUGCCUACCCCAACCUUGAAUUGUCUUUCUCACCGAUCGGCUACUUUGCCUGUCCCUUCCUACUCCUCCCUUGUCUUGCAUUACAUUGCAUUGCAUACCUAUCCCUCGCCUUGACUUCCCUUUCCCUUUAUUUUCUGGCUUUGCCUUACCUGUCCUGCCCUUCCUUUGACUUGCCUGCUGUUGAGUUAUGAGUGGGUCUUGGGUCUUCAAAGACACAGGAGCAGUUGUUGGUUGUUGUAAAGUUGUUUAUUGCAUGAAUACAUCAGCCUUGAAGGUGAAGAGUUCAGAAUAUUAAAGUUCAUGCUAAAAGCUUUCUGGCAUAGAGUCCCGAUGUUCCGAGCAGAAGCAGUAGAAGCAGCAGAAGCAGUAGCAGCUAGCAGAAGCUACUACCACUUUUUCUUCUUUUGUUUUUUUGCACCCCAAUACAGGGGGAUUUUAUUAAUAAAUCAUCCAAUCAGCUAAAAACACGAUUCUAAAACAUUCUUCCUACACCUAUUCGAGCUUGAUUCUAAUGUGCGAAAGUAGUGUCGGUUCUUACACAAAAUCUACGCAUAUAGUUCUAUCUGUUCACGCAAAUAGUUCUAUCUGUUCUAUCUAGAAAUGCAAGCAAUGUUCUGCUAUGGUUUUGUUAUGUCCGGAGCAAAGUUAAUUUUGUGAAGGGUACCACUAAUGAACUUUAAACUAGGCUUUAGGGCUUUUUACUAGCUAACACAGUCUCUUAAGGCACUUAAGAUAUAUUUCUACUUACUUAAAACUAAAACUUGCACUCCUACUUCAUGUCUGUGUGGCUUAAUAUAUUUCAGUUUCUCUAAAGGCUCCAAUUCAAUCCCUGCAUUCCUUUCUCUCUAUGAGGGACUCAGAGUAGCUUCUAUUUCAUGCAUUCCAACAGCCUGCCUUGUAUAUCACUCCCUUGACUUGCCUACCCUUGCCUUGCCUUGAACUGUCUACGACUCCUUUGCUUUGCCUUGCCCGAGCAGUCUGUCAAUGGUCCAUUAGGGGACCCCUUCACUGAACAGUCCUGCGGGGUUGGAGGGUGGUUCGACUGAUUUAAUCCAACACACCAACAGCAUAAGGGAGACCCCUCAGUGGGUCUUUCCCUUUUGUUUUGCCAGUGCCCAUGAAGGACUCACACUAGCAGUUUACAGAAUAACACUAUUCAUUUAAAAUCAUGACAGGUUAAGGUUCAAGGAUUGUCAGUGAUAGUAUCUGACUGCAAAAAUGUAUUUGAAGGAAUAUACAGAAAAGCUGUAAUCCCCAAUAAAAUAUUCAGCUCACAUACAGUAUGAUUCUUACCCAAUAGGCAUCCCUGUGGGGGGCAAGACAGGUUCAGCCCCUUGACUGAUCCCAGAAGUUAUGGCAGUUGUGAUGGAGUCUUCCCUAACUUUCCCCCAUUCUUGACUUACUUUUAUACUGUUUCUUUGUGUUUAGGUGGAGCUUGAGUGACUCUAGUCAUACAUACCUUUGUUACUGGUUGCUGUAAAAUUAUCUCACUUCCUUUUAGAGAUACAGUCAAAAAGAAUAUAGAGAGCAUGCCCAGUGAGGGUUGGUUGUACCUCGGAGGUGGGUGACUUUAGGAUGGAGGUGUGCAGUAAUAUUACUAUUAGACUUUAAUGAACCAAGUUCAUAUGAAGAGAGAAAUUUUGCCACCGUUGCUGGCUCAGCAGCAAGACACCUUCACCUCUCUCCCCUAGUAUGUGAUUUAUCAGCUGCAAAGUACCAUUGAGUUCCCCUUCCUGCGAGGAUUUCCACAGAGCCUGGACGAGGUGCCUCCACUCUACUCCGCCCUCCAUUCUACCCCACUUAGCAGGUGCAUGUGUAUGGGGAAUCAUUGUGGAAUAGGUUUCAAAUCAUACCAACUUUGUUUUGCUUUACUGAGGAGGCCAAGCAAGCAAGGCACGGGACAGGAAGUUGUCAGGUGCAGUGAUGGGUUGUAGGAAUGUGCCCCCUGUUGACAGAGUGACCAAAUUAUCCUUUGUCUCCUAAAAAAGAAAAAAAGCCCAGAAGUUUCUCUCCUCAAUUUGGUAAAAAGACACCUCAUAGGACCUUGGGGACUUCACCUCAAACUUAAGGAUACCCAAUUGGACAGAAGCCAAAAGGUACCGCCUAAGCAAUUCACUAGAAAAAGAAGAGAACAAAUGAAGUGUUAUAAGUAAAAAUGAAAAUAUGCCAAAUUAUAAUAAAAAUAUAAAAAGAAUUUAUUUAGUGACCAUAAUACAGUCCCGACAGCCAACAAUCAAACAGACAGCAUAACACUCCCAGGAGGUAAGCUGGGUCAAUGUGGGAAAUGGUCUCUAUCUCACCAAGUCCACCUCGUCCACACCGGCUGCUCCGAGGCAGCGGUUCUUAUACGAUUUAUUUUGCCCACGGCAGAGUCCCUUUGUUUCUUUCUGAGUUCUUAAUAUUCAAGUUGGUUUCUUUCUUCGGUUUGGGCUGCACAAAGCCUUUGUCCGGGAAUGGAAUAAUACACUUCCCCGAUUCCCGGAAUCUGGCAUUCAGAUGGAAGGUGUUGAUGGCUCUGGUCAUCUCAGAUAGGUAUCUUGUCCGGGCCAUCAUCUCUUGGGCGUCACGGGGCACAUGCUUUCAUGAAUGCCCAUCUCCUGUGCAGCCGAGGUUUCCUUUGCAUGUAAAUGUUGUGGUGCCUCUCUGCCCAUCUGCCACGGUUUCGCCAUCCCGAGGAUAAAAAUUCCUCCCUCUCCCUUUCCCUAUAUACAAUAAGUUCAUUUUUAGAUAUAUUGUAAAAAUCAUAGUCUUUUCUCUUAGAAGUUAUAAGCCUGUUCUUAUCAUGGUUGUAUGUCCAUUCAGUUACCAGCAAGAAGGGAUACCAUUAUAAAUUAGAGAUGUUUUUAUACAUAUUCCUUUUAUAUAAUUCUAUCUGCAUGAAUUACUAACUAUAUCUUUAAUAGAAGUAAUUGAUUUUGUGGGGUGUUUUUACCAGGAGCAAGAACCUCUUGCCCCGGCUCAUUUUUUCUCUGUAACGAGCUUUGUUAUUUUGCCUUUUAUUAAAACUUUUCUGUUUCCAACACUACCUCAGAAGCCAUCCUGCUGAUUUUCCGACAUUGAGGUAGCUGGGCUAUCUUGGGUGUGAUAUGUUUCUCUGAGAGCUCAUAAGACCUGGCUCGAGGAGAAAAUAUAUCAAUGGGUAGGCAAGGAAAAGAUAGGGAGCGAUAGGCAAUGAAAGGCAAGGUCAGGCAAGAAAGAGGCAGGCAAGUCACAAUGAGAGAUGGGUAGGAAAGAUAAGGCAAGUCAAAGGAUGGGAAGGUAGAACAAGGCAAGGCUAGGAAAGAAUGGGAUAGGAAAUUCAAGGCAAGGCUGAAUAUGAAAGGCAAGGGAGGAAUAGUCAGGGCAAGGCAAAGCAAGGGAGUGAUAUACAAGGCAAGGCAAGGGAUGGUCAGGCAUGGCAAGGGAAUGCAACUUUGGGUAGGCAAGGCAAAUGAGGGGUAAGCAAGAGAAAUCCAGGAAGUUGUAGGCUAGGAAAAGCAAGGCAGGGGAGAAGAAGGUUUUAUGAUCUGUCCUAAUCACACAGGAGCAAGGAAAAACUGUGAAUAAGGCAGGAUGAACUGAGGCUCGAAAUAUUCCCCAAAACAAGAUAAAAACUAAACUGGGUUAAAUAUUGAUACCAAAAAUUUGAUCUAUUUUAUUUAAAAGAGUCAAAGAGAAAGAAAGAAAGAAAGAAAAGUUUAAAAAAGUUAGAAAAAGCUAAGGUUACUUUAAAAAGCAUAGGGUAGCUCACCACCACACUGUUGCUACCUUUUUUGCUACUGAGAUGGGGGGGAGUGUUGCCAGGAUUUUUAGUGAAAAAGCCUCUGCUAGGAUUUUUCCUGUCCUGAGGAGCUGAGGGCCUCAGGAAAGAAAUGUAAACAAUAACUAUCUGCUGCUGUGGAGUGCCACAGGUGAAUCUUCCAUUGGUCCAUGUGGAUUGUUUUCAGUCAGUGACCAAUCACAGCCACCUGUGCCAAGGCUGUGAGCAGUCACAGGAUUUUUGUUAUUCAUUCCUGUUCUAUUCUUGUCUUUGUAGCCUUCUGAUUUUCUUCUCUCUGUUCUUUUAGUAUAGUUGUAAUGUAGUAUUUUAGUAUAAUAUAUAACAUAAUAAAUCAGCCUUCUGAUCAAAUGGAGUCAAGCCUCGUGUCCUCGUCCGAGGGGCCCAAGUCAAAGCAAGAGGGGAGCCCCAUAGCGGGGUGCAAGGAUUAUCAUCAUCAACAACAGUGACCACCACAACCAUGACCGUCAGCAACCACAAGAAGAAGAAGAAGAAGAAGAAGAAGAUAAUGAUGACAACAGAAGAAGAAGAAAAGAAAGAAUAAAGAAGGCUGUGGUCCCUGCUGCUGCUCAGAACAUCAGACUCGUCCCUGCUGCUUGGGACAUUGGACUCUGUACCUAGGAACAACUGUUGCUGCUGCUGCUGCUGUUCCUGCAUGGAACUUGGGACUCUAUACCAGAGAGCAGCCUUGCAGCUGCUGCUCUUGCUUGGGACUCUAUGCCAGAAAGCUUUUGCAUGGACUUUAACACCUUGAACUCUUUGCCUUCGAGACUGAUGUAUUCAUGCAGUAAACAACCUUAUAGCAACCCACAACUGCUCGUGUCUCUUUGAAGACCCUAGACCCACUAAAGCUCGACACUUGUAUACUCUAUUGUCUGCUUUUUGCCAGAUAUGAGCCCUGUGCCUUUAAGUUGGAUCUAAGAGAGAAGGGGGGGAAGCGGUGGAAUUCUUUUGGCGCCUGAGUUCAAAACAGAGAUAAGCCACUCCGUUUUUUUUUCCCAGCUCUGGGUUUUCUUUCUCCAGCGAGAGAGACUGAGCUUUUCUUUGCUUUUUAAGCUAGCUUCUCAUUUGUUAGCUGAGACGAGAGGUUUUUUCCUGGGACUGUGGCUUCUUCUUUUUCUUUUUCUUCUUCUUCUUCUGGAACUGUUCAGCUUUUCUGUGGUCUGAAACACCAGAACAUUGUCUGGGAGAAGAAAACCUCUGUUCCCGGAGAUAAAAGAACUUUUGUUUCUAUACUCCUUGGGGAUGUCAAAUACCAGAAAUAUGGAAUAGCCCUCAAACAGGACAAUGGGAAUAUAUCCAGACAGUUCACUGGUGUCUAGACUGGGGAGGGAGUCCAGGCCUCCCAGAGGACGCCUUACAGGUCAGUAUAAAAUAUUCUGAUUUAAUAAGGUCAAGGCAAAAAGAUCCAAGGGCAAAGUGGAAUUGCACAAAAAUAUUCACUUGUACUAGUAGGAAUCUUGAGGUACAGUGGCUCAUGACUGUGGCGCAGGUUCUAAUUAUUGGGAUGUGUUUGUAUAAAUGAUUCUACCUUUCUUAAUGACACGUGGUUUCACCUAAUAAACAAUGAGACUUGGAGAGAUAUAGACUGUCAGCAGGACAUGAUAAAAUCAUUAAGACCCACAGUAUGGGUGGGAAGUAAUGGAAUUUGGACUACACAUUUGCCCUUGGUAGAGUCAAGAGCACAAUGGACACUGGGAGUAUUAACAUUAUGCCCCUUGUGGAAGGAGUCACCAUUGGGAACCUGACUAUGGGGAAAAGUUAAACAUGAUGAAACUUGGAAACACCCCUGUAAAGGAACCAUAGUGGGAUGGAUUUUAGAAUCCAUCUUUACUCUGCAAAUAUCCACCUUCAGGAACAGGCUGGCCAUACACAAUUUGACUCUACAAAUGGCAACUUUAGCAAAUGCAACUCAAUUGAGGUUUACUGAAAUAAAUGAACAAUUGCAAGCCAUGACUAAAAUGACCUUACAAAACAGAUUGGCUUUAGACCUAUUGCUGUUACAUGGAGUAUGUGGUUAUUUGAAUUUAAACAAUACUUGUUGUGUGCACAUUCCAAAUGUGACUGCUAAAUUGGAUGAUCAGAUAGAGAGAGAUAAAAUUGGUUGUUGUAUAUAGCAGAGAAUUAAUGGCAGAAUUAGAACGUAACUGGUUAAACAAUAUAUUUAAAGGAUUUGGAUUUUCUCUGACUGGUUGGGUGGCCUCACUUUUACAAAGUAUAAUUGUGAUCAUAGUAAUAAUUGUGAUUAUGAUGCUUGCUUUAAGCUGCAUAAAAAACAUGACUGCUAAUGCAACACGAGGAACUUAUAUGAUGUUAGUAAAAAAGCAAAGUGAGGCUUAUGAAGGCUUGAAGGGAAGACAAGCUUCACAAGUCUCAAGGGGCGGUGGGAGGAAUGUUGCCAGAUGAAAAAUUUUCUGCACCUGGUGGGCUAACACAAUGCUUAUAUUUCAAAAACCACUGAUCUAUGGAACUGCACAAUGCCCAUUGUGUAAGAAGGAGAACUGGAAAGCAACCAGCCCAGUUGUGCCAACUUUUACCAGUUCACUGGGCAGUCAGGUAUGACUUUGGGGUCGCCAACCACCAGGACCCACCAAAGAGACCCCCAGGACAGAAAAACACGUGUAAAGGGGAGGGAACAUAUGUUAAUUAUUUUGGGGAAAUUAUUAUAUGUAUGUUUAUUCUUGGAAAAUCAAAGAAUAUGUAUGUAAAACAGAGUAUAGAAGCAGGAGUUUUUCUGUACCCAUCAUGCACAAUAUUUCAGAGGAAAUAUUCCCUCAUUCAUACAGCCAAAUAAAGAAUGCCUACUUCUUAAUGUUA